GACGAACGCUGGCGGCGUGCCUAAUACAUGCAAGUCGAGCGGACAGAUGGGAGCUUGCUCCCUGUAUGUUAGCGGCGAGACGGGUGAGUAAGCACGUGGGUAACCUGCCUGUAAGACUGGGAUAACCCCGGGAAACCGGGGCUAAUACCGGAUGGUUGCCUGAACCGCAUGGUUCAGACAUAAAAGGUGGCUUCGGCUACCACUUACAGAUGGACCCGCGGCGCAUUAGCUAAAGUUCGGUGAGGUAACGGCUCACCAAGGCGACGAUGCGUAGCCGACCUGAGAGGGUGAUCGGCCACACUGGGACUGAGACACGGCCCAGACUCCUACGGGAGGCAGCAGUAGGGAAUCUUCCGCAAUGGACGAAAGUCUGACGGAGCAACGCCGCGUGAGUGAUGAAGGUUUUCGGAUCGUAAAGCUCUGUUGUUAGGGAAGAACAAGUGCCGUUCAAAUAGGGCGAAGCACCUUGACGGGGUACCUAACCAGAAAGCCACGUCUGCUAAUACGUGCCAGCAGCCGCAUGU
Molecule: ribosomal RNA, 524 nt
Filed under: Bacillus subtilis
Lineage: Bacteria; Bacillati; Bacillota; Bacilli; Caryophanales; Bacillaceae
Description: bacterial SSU rRNA
Rfam family: Bacterial small subunit ribosomal RNA
Source: RNAcentral